GACGAACGCUGGCGGCGUGCUUAACACAUGCAAGUCGAACGGAAAGGCCCUGCUUUUGUGGGGUGCUCGAGUGGCGAACGGGUGAGUAACACGUGAGUAACCUGCCCUUGACUUUGGGAUAACUUCAGGGAACUGGGGCUAAUACCGGAUAGGAGCUCCUGCUGCAUGGUGGGGGUUGGAAAGUUUCGGCGGUUGGGGAUGGACUCGCGGCUUAUCAGCUUGUUGGUGGGGUAGUGGCUUACCAAGGCUUUGACGGGUAGCCGGCCUGAGAGGGUGACCGGCCACAUUGGGACUGAGAUACGGCCCAGACUCCUACGGGAGGCAGCAGUGGGGAAUAUUGCACAAUGGGCGGAAGCCUGAUGCAGCAACGCCGUGUGCGGGAUGACGGCCUUCGGGUUGUAAACCGCUUUCGCCUGUGACGAAGCGUGAGUGACGGUAAUGGGUAAAGAAGCACCGGCUAACUACGUG
Molecule: ribosomal RNA, 468 nt
Filed under: uncultured bacterium
Lineage: Bacteria
Description: partial 16S ribosomal RNA
Rfam family: Bacterial small subunit ribosomal RNA
Source: RNAcentral